This 59-nucleotide transfer RNA is filed under the name Loxodonta africana (African savanna elephant). It matches the Rfam family "tRNA", at positions 14 to 71 of the family's 71-position model. Rfam says of the family: Transfer RNA (tRNA) molecules are approximately 80 nucleotides in length. Lineage: Eukaryota; Metazoa; Chordata; Mammalia; Proboscidea; Elephantidae. The record is from Rfam by way of RNAcentral.
AGUGGCUAAGCGCUCGGCUGCUAACCGAAACAUUGGUGGUUCGAACCCACCAGCCACUC